UCUGCCUCCCUGGUUGGUUAGACGUCACACCGUCAGCACACAGCACACAGCUCUGCAAGGGUGAGGACCACCCGCUCACUCCCAGGCCCAGGCCCCCCUCCACCGCACAUAAGCCUCAUGGCUGGUGAAGUCUGCACCAGCAAGGCAAUGGUGAUCAGUUUCAUUUCCAGGUUUCUGCUGAGGCUAGCUCCCUGCCCUGUGGCCUGGCCCUCUGAGCACCUUACCCGGACAACCUUUGGAAUCAGAACUGGACUGGACCAAGCGCAGUGUGGACUAGAGUCCUGAUCUGUCACUUCCUUUCGAGCCAUGUCACCGAGUAACAAGUUAACAGAGAAUGUGUUUUUCAUCAGGGACUUACUAACAAAGACCUUUAAACCUGGCUAAAAAUUAACAAUGGAAAUUACAUUAUUAAACUGGAAACUUGCUGGUGACUAACACAACUCUAAAAGAGGCUUGAACGAGGGGGCUUUUCUAGAAUCAAGAAAGCAUGGAGAAUUACUGCCUUCUACCUGUCUCCCUGCCGGCUUCCUCCUCACCCUGUCUUCGACCCCACAAUGCAGAUCCACUCUUGGAUUAACUUGAGAACAUCCCGGGGACAGUGCAAUCAUCAGCCAUACUCCGGGCCUUAAAUCAACUUUGGGUGUGGG
Molecule: long non-coding RNA, 647 nt
Organism: Mustela lutreola (European mink)
Lineage: Eukaryota; Metazoa; Chordata; Mammalia; Carnivora; Mustelidae
Exons: 4
Source: RefSeq, a predicted model, not a curated record